GCGCGGAUGGCGGAAUUGGUAUACGCGCAAGACUAAGGAUCUUGUGCCGCAAGGCUUGGAGGUUCGAGUCCUCUUCCGCGCA
RNAcentral lists this transfer RNA (82 nucleotides) under Candidatus Margulisiibacteriota bacterium. Its description in RNAcentral is "tRNA-Leu". It matches the Rfam family "tRNA". Rfam says of the family: Transfer RNA (tRNA) molecules are approximately 80 nucleotides in length. Their secondary structure includes four short double-helical elements and three loops (D, anti-codon, and T loops). Further hydrogen bonds mediate the characteristic L-shaped molecular structure. tRNAs have two regions of fundamental functional importance: the anti-codon, which is responsible for specific mRNA codon recognition, and the 3' end, to which the tRNAs corresponding amino acid is attached (by aminoacyl-tRNA synthetases). tRNAs cope with the degeneracy of the genetic code in two manners: having more than one tRNA (with a specific anti-codon) for a particular amino acid; and 'wobble' base-pairing, i.e. permitting non-standard base-pairing at the 3rd anti-codon position. The record is from RNAcentral. Lineage: Bacteria; Bacillati; Candidatus Margulisiibacteriota. RNAcentral also lists the same sequence under 2 other names.